CAGCCGCCGCGGGAAAACGAGGGGUGCAAGCGUUAAUCGGAAUUACUGGGCGUAAAGCGUGCGUAGGCGGUGAGUUAAGUCUGCUGUGAAAUCCCCGGGCUCAACCUGGGAAUGGCAGUGGAUACUGGCUCGCUAGAGUGUGUCAGAGGAUGGUGGAAUUCCCGGUGUAGCAGUGAAAUGCGUAGAGAUCGGAAGGAACAUCUGUGGCGAAGGCGACUAUCUGGGCCAACACUGACACUGAGGCACGAAAGCGUGGGGAGCAAACAGGAUUAGAUACCCGGGUAGUCCCUGUCUCUUAUAC
This 301-nucleotide ribosomal RNA is filed under the name uncultured bacterium. RNAcentral describes it as "partial 16S ribosomal RNA". It matches the Rfam family "Bacterial small subunit ribosomal RNA", at positions 509 to 807 of the family's 1533-position model. The record is from RNAcentral.